UGCUGGUAGCUUCGCAAUUGUACUCUAUGAACCCCGCCAGGACCGGAAGGUAGCAACGGUAGUAGAACUAUGAUGUGCCGAAGUCAUGCUGGUAGGGC
RNAcentral lists this signal recognition particle RNA (98 nucleotides) under Acinetobacter sp. WC-323. RNAcentral's name for it is "Bacterial signal recognition particle RNA". It matches the Rfam family "Bacterial small signal recognition particle RNA". From Rfam's summary of the family: The signal recognition particle (SRP) is a universally conserved ribonucleoprotein involved in the co-translational targeting of proteins to membranes. Archaeal SRP consists of a 7S RNA and homologues of the eukaryotic SRP19 and SRP54 proteins. The record is from RNAcentral. Lineage: Bacteria; Pseudomonadati; Pseudomonadota; Gammaproteobacteria; Moraxellales; Moraxellaceae.